RNAcentral lists this long non-coding RNA (1175 nucleotides) under Struthio camelus australis. RNAcentral's name for it is "lncRNA (ENSSCUG00000008992.1)". Lineage: Eukaryota; Metazoa; Chordata; Aves; Struthioniformes; Struthionidae. The record is from RNAcentral.
CUUAAGUGAUUUUUUUGAGCCAUGAACAUUAAAAUAUGAUUAAAAAGCCAUUUUUAAGUCUAGCUUGUAUUUACACAUUUUAAUUGGGAACGAAAGAAAAGCAAGCUGUUUGCAAAACUAAUGUGUUUACAUGAAGCUUCAGUAUUAUCUGAAAUCACCGAUUACAUGAUGAAGCCGCGUAGAUAAUCAGUUUUGUCAGUUUGAGGAUUGAAAAAGCCAAAUAAACCAACGAAGAAUAAAAAAACUCACGACUUGGAGAAACAGUAUUGUGACUGAGAUGAAAGCAGUAAUUCUGUUUUAGUCCUGCUUUGCAUAAAGAAUGGGAAAAGAUAAAUUUAAUUUUAGUUGAGAUAGAUUAUGAUUGUACUGAAACUUUCCUGUUUUUUUCAGUGACACGCUCAUAAAAGAUGAUAGUUUAAGUACUGUGGGGACGAGAAUGUCAUGGCCACUGAUUAUCACUUUGAAUAACGUGAUCUUCGCAGGACAAGAGAGCCAACAGGAAAUACGACCAAGUUAUCUUGGUCUAAGAAGCAGUUUAAUGGUCGUCUCUGUAUCUCCAAUCAGCAUCUCUUCAGGGCUCAUCAGUGCAACAUUGUGAACAAUUAAAGCACAUCUCAUCACUGCAAUGCGCUUAGGUGCACUUGCUAAGAUAUUCCGCUCCAUUGCGUACCCCGGAGGCGAGACCAGCUUUAGGGCACAUGUGCCCAAGUUUCUGUGUCUCAUCCUGGUGACGGCUACACACAUCCUGAUGCUGCCUUGCUGCUCAGAAGACGUCUUGGAUCCAAGCGGGAUCUCAGGACAACUGCAGAUCUAAUGACCCGAGUACUCUAAGGAGACCUGUUCCAUGGGCAACUCUGCCUACAGCGCAUACUAAGUUUAGAAACCUAACACUAUCAAACUAUAUGAUGAACACAUUUAAUUAAAGGUGAAGGUACAGCACGGUCCCAGCGAAUGCCAUAGGACUGACAGAUUGGCAGAGCUAACUGAAUACAUUCAGAUUCCUGGGUGCUUCGCUAUGUUCUAUACAACUGCAAAGUCAUGUGGAAAAAUAGAAUUCUGCUUAAAUUCUGCUCCUCUUCAUUGCAAACCCAAGGAUAAGUUCACAAAUUCCAGGUAAUACAGAGAGAAGCAUUUUUAUAAAUAAACACUGUAAUUAUUAUUUAAUGGAGAAAGAG